RNAcentral lists this RNase P RNA (423 nucleotides) under Prauserella isguenensis. RNAcentral describes it as "Bacterial RNase P class A". It matches the Rfam family "Bacterial RNase P class A". Rfam says of the family: Ribonuclease P (RNase P) is a ubiquitous endoribonuclease, found in archaea, bacteria and eukarya as well as chloroplasts and mitochondria. Lineage: Bacteria; Bacillati; Actinomycetota; Actinomycetes; Pseudonocardiales; Pseudonocardiaceae. The record is from Rfam by way of RNAcentral.
CGAGUUGGCAGGGCGGCCGCGACGCCGCGCCACGCGGCGCGGUUUCGAGGAAAGUCCGGACUCCGCAGGGCAGGGUGGUUGCUAACGGCAACCCGGGGUGACCCGCGGGAAAGUGCCACAGAAAACAGACCGCCCGGCGGUACUGAGCCGGUGCCGGUGGCGCCGGCGCAGUGGUCGGGUAAGGGUGAAACGGUGGUGUAAGAGACCACCAGCGUCCCGGGCGACCGGGACGGCUCGGUAAACCCCACCCGGAGCAAGGUCAAGAGGGAGCCUCAGGGCUCCUGCGCAGGCGUUCGAGGGCUGCCCGUCCGAGGCCUGCGGGUAGACCGCUGGAGCCUGUCGGCAACGGCAGGCCGAGAUGGAUGGUCGCCGCCCACGGCCCGGCCGUGGGAACAGAAUCCGGCUUACAUGCCAACUCGUCCU